GAUGAACGCUGGCGGCGUGCCUAAUACAUGCAAGUCGAGCGAACAGACGAGGAGCUUGCUCCUCUGACGUUAGCGGCGGACGGGUGAGUAACACGUGGAUAACCUACCUAUAAGACUGGGAUAACUUCGGGAAACCGGAGCUAAUACCGGAUAAUAUAUUGAACCGCAUGGUUCAAUAGUGAAAGACGGUUUUGCUGUCACUUAUAGAUGGAUCCGCGCCGCAUUAGCUAGUUGGUAAGGUAACGGUUUACCAAGGCAACGAUGCGUAGCCGACCUGAGAGGGUGAUCGGCCACACUGGAACUGAGACACGGUCCAGGCUCCUACGGGACGCAGCAGUAGGGAAUCUUCCGCAAUGGGCGAAAGCUUGACGGAGCAACGCCGCGUGAGUGAUGAAGGUCUUCGGAUCGUAAAACUCUGUUAUUAGGGAAGAACAAAUGUGUAAGUAACUAUGCACGUCUUGACGGUACCUAAUCAGAAAGCCACGGCUAACUACGUG
This 497-nucleotide ribosomal RNA is filed under the name uncultured bacterium. RNAcentral's name for it is "partial 16S ribosomal RNA". It matches the Rfam family "Bacterial small subunit ribosomal RNA", at positions 28 to 507 of the family's 1533-position model. The record is from RNAcentral.